RNAcentral lists this ribosomal RNA (123 nucleotides) under Bacillus sp. KK29. Its description in RNAcentral is "partial 16S ribosomal RNA". It matches the Rfam family "Bacterial small subunit ribosomal RNA", at positions 93 to 215 of the family's 1533-position model. The record is from RNAcentral. Lineage: Bacteria; Bacillati; Bacillota; Bacilli; Caryophanales; Bacillaceae.
UAGCGGCGGACGGGUGAGUAACACGUGGGCAACCUGCCUAUAAGACUGGGAUAACUUCGGGAAACCGGAGCUAAUACCGGAUAAUGUUUUUUGACUCAUGUCGAGAAACUGAAAGAUGGCUUC